Molecule: small nuclear RNA, 108 nt
Filed under: Microcebus murinus (gray mouse lemur)
Lineage: Eukaryota; Metazoa; Chordata; Mammalia; Primates; Cheirogaleidae
Source: RNAcentral
GUGCUCGCUUUGACAGCACAUGUACUAAAAUUGGAAAGAUACAGAGAAGAUUAGCUAUGUCCCCUAUGCAAGGAUGACACACAAAUUCGUGCAGCAUUCCAUUAAAAA